GGGCGUGAAUGAGUACCCGGCUUCCGGCGGGAGCGUGUGCGAGGAUCUGAUUGGCCGGUUAUUUAUGCAAACAUCUUACUUUCUAAGAAGGGUGUGACCACAACGAGCCUAAUGAAGACUGAUGAAGUUUAGAGAAGAGGUCAAUGUUGAAGACAUCUUCCCUGCACAAAAUGUUAAUCUACUAUUGGAGAAAACGAAUCAGGAUUCAUACUUGAACUACAACUCAAACCAGAAGACAAAAGGAAGUUGGAGCUGAAUUGAAAGGAUGGCUUGAAAGGUCUGCUUAGUGUGACAAAUAAAGGAGUUGGAAGAGUUGGUUAUGUUGUGCAUCUAAAGGCAACAAGAAACAUUAUUCCACAGGUUAUUCAGUUGUCUGGCAUUUCACUAUAUAUGCUAUGCAUAAGCAAAAAUGCCACCAUGAAGAUAACUUUAUCUUAUGUGCCAACAUCCCCUGGAAGGAAAUGAGGAGACAGAAAAAUUCUAACAACUUGAUAAAGACAUCCAAAUGAAAUCAAUAUGUAUUGUAAUACUCAGUGACUUGUAUGUAGAAGUGGAAAACAGAGAAAGAUGGUGAGAAAUAAGUUGGAAACUAUGAUUCAGAAUGAAGAAACAAGAGCUCAAAGGCUUAUAGAUUACAGAGAAUAAUAGAAUUUGAAGGUUGGAGGAACCUCCCUGGUCAUCUAGUCUAAGCCAUAACACAAAAGAAUUUCUACUCUAACAUUUGUUAGUGAUUAUCCAGCCUUCCCCUAGAGGGGGCACUCAUCAACUUUCUGGAUAGGUAGACUCCCAGUCUGUGACAGAAUUGUUAUCUAGGAUUGCCAGGCAUCAUUGCCAGCAUUGUCCCCCACUUCAAGCUUCUUCGUCUUGUCAAAGGGUUGAGACAGUUAACGUUUCCAUAUUUGAACCUGGUCAGAGAUGGCUCAUUAUAAUUGGUAAUGCCUGACAUGUGUCUGCUCCUCCCCUCUGGCUCAACCAGACACUAACAUGUCCUGUGGUUGUUUUGUUUCAUUUUUCCUUUCUAAAGAAAUGAGUUUUUGUUUAAAACUUAGCCAUCAACAAAAAAUAAAGAGAAAAUUACACGUAAAAUCAUAAACUCCUAAGUGUUCAUUUUUUUUCUCCUAGAAUAAAA
Phascolarctos cinereus (koala) is the source of this 1129-nucleotide non-coding RNA. NCBI's taxonomy places the organism in Eukaryota, Metazoa, Chordata, Mammalia, Diprotodontia, Phascolarctidae. The record is from RefSeq and is a predicted model, not a curated record.